This 261-nucleotide RNase P RNA is filed under the name Gammaproteobacteria bacterium. Its description in RNAcentral is "partial RNase P RNA component class A". It matches the Rfam family "Bacterial RNase P class A", at positions 1 to 259 of the family's 367-position model. Rfam says of the family: Ribonuclease P (RNase P) is a ubiquitous endoribonuclease, found in archaea, bacteria and eukarya as well as chloroplasts and mitochondria. Lineage: Bacteria; Pseudomonadati; Pseudomonadota; Gammaproteobacteria. The record is from RNAcentral.
AGAGUCGAUCGGACAGUCGCUGUUUCGUUGCUUGGCAACGAAAGGGAGGAAAGUCCGGGCUCCAUAGGGCAAAGUGCCAGGUAACUCCUGGGAGGCGUGAGCUUACGGAUAGUGCCGCAGAAAAUUACCGCCUAAGCACGCAAGUGCCGGUAAGGGUGAAAAGGUGCGGUAAGAGCGCACCGCACGGCUGGUAACAGUCCGUGGCUAGGCAAACCCCACUUGGAGCAAGACCAAAUAGGGAUCCAUUAGGCGUGGCCCGCG